CAGGAAUCGAGCAAAAAGUCCGUGUCUCGCGUCAUCUCGGCUCAGGACACUCUGGUAGAGAACGCGAAAGAGCAAGCGAGUUCGCUGAGCAAUAUGAUCGCCCAGGCCACAAAGUGAAACGUAUAAAUUUUUUUAGCCUUCCUUUAUAUAUUCUGCUCACGGCAUAUCUCCUUCAAUGCCAUGACUACGCCAACUUCGUUCCAGUA
Molecule: long non-coding RNA, 206 nt
Organism: Selaginella moellendorffii
Lineage: Eukaryota; Viridiplantae; Streptophyta; Lycopodiopsida; Selaginellales; Selaginellaceae
Exons: 2
Source: RefSeq, a predicted model, not a curated record